RNAcentral lists this transfer RNA (74 nucleotides) under Bacteroidales bacterium. Its description in RNAcentral is "tRNA-Thr". It matches the Rfam family "tRNA". From Rfam's summary of the family: Transfer RNA (tRNA) molecules are approximately 80 nucleotides in length. Their secondary structure includes four short double-helical elements and three loops (D, anti-codon, and T loops). Further hydrogen bonds mediate the characteristic L-shaped molecular structure. tRNAs have two regions of fundamental functional importance: the anti-codon, which is responsible for specific mRNA codon recognition, and the 3' end, to which the tRNAs corresponding amino acid is attached (by aminoacyl-tRNA synthetases). tRNAs cope with the degeneracy of the genetic code in two manners: having more than one tRNA (with a specific anti-codon) for a particular amino acid; and 'wobble' base-pairing, i.e. permitting non-standard base-pairing at the 3rd anti-codon position. Lineage: Bacteria; Pseudomonadati; Bacteroidota; Bacteroidia; Bacteroidales. The record is from RNAcentral.
GCCUCUUUAGCUCAGUUGGUCAGAGCAAGUGAUUUGUAAUCUCGGGGUCGUUGGUUCGAAUCCGACAAGAGGCU